Molecule: long non-coding RNA, 2262 nt
Organism: Mya arenaria
Lineage: Eukaryota; Metazoa; Mollusca; Bivalvia; Myida; Myidae
Exons: 5
Source: RefSeq, a predicted model, not a curated record
UUUAAAAAAUUGCAGUUUUACCUUAUGCAUACACAAGAUUUAACAUGUUAAAUGAUACAUAAGUGCAAAUUUGUUUCGCAAAACAAAUAAUGUUAUGUUGGACAUUAAGUGUUAUGUUUUUAAAUUUUAUUUAAUAUUUUAAAAUUAAAUCCUGCCAUGGACCUGUUUGAACUAUUACAAUCGGUAAACAAACGUUUAAUAUUUUCAAAUGUAAAAAACUACUAAAUUGACAAUGGAUUAAAACGUGACUUAUUACACUGGCACAAUGGAUAGUGAUAUGAUUUAUAAUUUCCCGUGUACAAGUUGUAAAGAAAAUGGAAUGAAUUCGGAAUCAGUGAGCUACUGUGAAUCCUGUAAAAAACAUUUCUGUACCAUCUGUGUUAAAAUGCAUGACCGUAUUCUAAAGGAACACCAUGUUCUUGACAAGAGCAGACAACAUUUAUGGCCCAAAGAAACGGAAGGUGAUCACAACACGAUCGCGUCUGCCAAAGGUGAUAACACUCAGGACACAGGACGAAAACUCGAUCUUGAUAAUCGGAAAUCAACGCAAGCCAAAGAAGUGUUUGGAGAAGUCCUCUAUAGUCCCUUAACAACAUUAUGUGGAAUAGAAGGGAAAGCUACCUUGUACUUCGACGACAAAGGCAUCCGUAUAAUACAUUUAGACAGCAAAGCGCAUGUCGAAAUUCCGUUACAUAUGAUAAGAAGAUACGGUAUAAAAGAAUCAUGUAUAUUGUUUUUUGAAGUUGGAAGGCGCUUCAGCUUCGGAGAGGGAUUCAUAUACACCAGGUGUUGUUCACGUGAGGAUGCGAAAUUGGCAAACGCAUACAUGAAUAAAGUAUGUGGCAAAAGAAAAUAGACAUCGACUGUAUAGAAAUGUGUUUAACAUAGUAGACAAACGCGUACUUAUGAAUUACUGUACAUAAAUGAUGUGGAUACACAUUGAUCAAUUUAUACACAUUUUGGUUAACUCUCUCUAAAAGAAAACAAUCACCAGUGAUAUAUAUUUGGCUGCUGAAGUUUAUCUUUUAAAGGGACUCGGUCAUAUUUUGGCACCAAUUUCUUUUUCCUGGUAUUGCAAACACUUAUAGUAUAUGUGUAUUAUAAUUUUACUCUUUAUUACCGAACUCGCAUAAAAAAACAUUAAAAGCAUACGAAAUUUCUGCUUUUUGUUGGGUGUGAAAUUCUAAAAAAGAAAGAAACUUUAAUAAUAGGUAAUUAAAUGACUCGGGCAUACAUGAAUAUGCAAUUUUUUACUAUUCCAGUAUGCGGCAAGUUAGAAUCGAGCUCCAAAAAGCAUGUGUUACAGUGUAGUUGAUUUUGUAGUUACAUAUCAUUGAUCCUAUAUAUGAAACGCACACAGGUUUCCACCGGAUCACAAGACCAACUGAACUUACGUCACGAGUUUGAUUGACGGGUCAAUUGACCAUUCAGAUAGCCGCACUGAUAAACCCGCAUCGGCUUGUCUACUAUCCGCCGUUUUGUCCGACAAACAAGUGUUUUUACGGUUUUAUAUCCGUCAAAUAUUUUUUUCCACUGGAAACAUGUUGAUUGUUAUCGUACACAGACAGUAGAUCCCUCGAAAGACUUGAGAUCAAUAUCAAGUUAUAUCCAUUCUCGAAACCAGACAGAAACCUGUGUAUGAGUUGCCUCGAUUAUAUGGGUGGCCUGGAUCUGGAUUUGGAAGAAAUAAAAAAUCGGCGCUUUGUUGAUGGCCAACCUACAACGCGAAACCCUGAUCCUCUACCAGCAUUGCCGUAUAAUCACACUACGCCUGUAAGACGGCCGCCAUAGGUGCGAGCCUUCCAGAAAAAGAUUGCGGCUUGACAGCGCGUCCUACAACCAAGGACACAAACGGCAAGAACAGCAGUUUCCAGCUUACCCACUUCUAGAAGAUGAAAAUGACAAGAUCAUUGCUAACCGGUCGCCAACAACAGCGACAUAAACUGUGCCAUCCAAUGAUCAAACAGAUGGUCUUGUCUGGUACAUGCAACAAAGUCGAUGAAAGUAGCCCCUGAAAUCAUAAGCUGACCUUGCACCAAAAAGUAAUGAUGAUUUUUUAAAGCCUGAUUGUUUCCCCAUCAUCAAUCAUCAAUAAGCCCUUCAAAUUUCUGACUGACUCAAAUAUUGUUAUGUCUAGAGCUGAAUAUGGACACUUAUCUUCCACAAUUCCACUUUCACCAUCUUUGCAAAUGAUGCCAUAUAGGCUGGCACCCAGAAAUGGGUUGAUGUACAUUUUCUUGACAUUUUUUCUCAUUUACAUGG